AUAGAGGGCUCACUCUAUAAGCUGGCGUCGCGUACGGGUACGAAGUCGUAAUGUAGGUCGAUGUGUCAGGAUUCGAAAAUGAAUACAAAGUGCAUUAUUCGUAAGUCACGAAUGUCAACCAUAAUGUAGCAUUUGAGUGAGGACAUGUGGACCGUCAGACUAUUUGAGUGAGGACAUGUGGACCGUCAGACUAUUUCGAUCAACAUCAAGCAGGAGUUCAUUUCUUCAUCUGCCGCUGAACUUCCAGUGCAGUUUUCUGAGCAGUUCACAGACAGCAGAGGUAUUGAGACCAUUCAUCUUUGCAGUCCAUCCUGAUUUCUUUGGCCAGCAUCCCAAGGAACGAGCUGUGAAUGAGCAUUCUCUGAAGCAGCUGUAUGCACACCUGGAGACUAUCCGAGAUGAAUCGGCACGGGUGACACCCAAGGAUCUGACGUUCUACCUGCGCAACAGCCGAAGAGAACGGUCCUCCCAGCAAGGUCACUCUGUCUUCCGGUCAGUCACAGUCAGCCUGCUGAACAGAGACAUCUACACCACAGUCAACAACCUCCUAGAGACAUGCAGCCUGCCCACCAACAACCUGCAAGAGAUCUCAGCCAGUCGACCCCUUCCCUUCCCCAGACCCAUAGAGUGGCACCACUCCUACUAUGCCUACACCGGCAAGACCGACCCGUAUGCAGAGGUGAAAGCCAAACGCCAGCCAGCUAAAGAUUCUUUAAGAAACUGGUUGAGGACAAAUGUCCCAAUAGCUAGGAGAAAUCUUGAGUCCAGUCUCCCAAUCCGGCAGGAGACAGAGCGUCUCAAUGACAGUCUUAAGGAGCAACUGGGCCUGGAGGAGUUGAGAUGGAUGUCCCGAUGGGAUGUCAACACAUUCAGGGCCUGCCUGAGGUCCAUGGCUAAGCUGCGGCAGGGACACUCCCAAAUAAUGGACAAUUUAAGAGGAAAGAGACUAGUGUUUGGAAGCUUGACUGGUGUAUCAAGAGAGGGUCAUGUGAUGCUGAGCAAUAAAAAUGUGGAACAGCAGUGGCUUGCAUUCCUGAGCAGCCUGCCCCAGCAGAUGAAAAUCCUGGACCACCUGUCCGUAGCAGAGCGACAGCUCUCGGAUUUCCUAGGGGGCAGCCUGAGGCUGUCCAGGCACUGCUGUCGUAAUCUCAUGCCGGCCCAGACCUACCUGGCAUUGCUCCACAAGAUGAGCGGCGGGCUCCAGCGGUACCGUCGGACGGUGGAAGGCGAGCGUGACUGCCAAAGAAUAUCCAGAGGACUCCUGGCCGAUGUGGAAAUUAAUGUUGUCGGUGAUUCUGGUCGGAUGUACGUGUCUUCUAGAGGUGCACUCCAUGUGACCGCAUCCAGCCAGCCACCAGAGCUCAUCAACUUCCUCCUGGACAAUGGAUUCCGGGUCAAAGAUAUCAGGAGGCACCAUCAGAGAUAUCUCCUGGAAGAGAUUGCUGCCAUCCAGGCCUGCGUGGAAGAACUGGACCUGACCGCGUUGACUAAAGACGACUCAGUGACGGCCGAAGAAAUGGUGUCCUGCUGCAAGAGACUCACAGAGAAUCCCUUGGAGCUGGGCGUGUCCUUACGGGAUGCCAGCAUACGCGUGGGUCACGUCUACAUGGUGCUAUGGGGUGGGGAGCUAUGCAUACCCUGGAACUGGAAGGAUUGACCCUGGGGAGAGGGGGGGAGUUGGAGUGUUAAAACAGACUGUCCAUCCAUUUUACUGACUGCCAUAAUUUGUAACCAAAAGCCUGCCAGUGUGGACAGUGUGAUGUUACAAAAUGUUGCAAAAACAAUUUUGUCGUAGGGAGGGGGAGGGGUGUGUGUGUGUGCAAAUAUUUUAUUGAUAUUCUCAGGUCAGCUUUUGAAACCUCUCUUGGGGGGGGGGGCAUUAAACCAACCCACCCACCUCUCUCGCUACACCACCAAUAGCAUCUGAAAAUCAGUCACCAUAAGAAUGCCCUCCAGUUUAAAGCAGGAUAAAUACAAUUUGAGGUCUGCGUUGUAAAGAGUACAACUAUGAAGACGUUUGUUGAAACACCGUGUCAGAAAAGGAUGAAAAAGAAAACAGAACGAGAGACGUAUCUUCACAUUUCUCACACAUCUCUCUCUCUUUUUACCUGCAAAGAUGGAAAGAACUUAUGUUACAGAAUGUCUGGAUGCUUUUGGUUUUCAUCUGGCAUAAUAUGGGGGGGGGGGAGGGAAAUGGGAAAAUGUAUAUGUAUUCAAAGGCCAACAGCACCACACCUACUUGAACAUGUAUAAAUUUUGAAUAAAUAAUGUCUCUUUUAAAUGGUUUGUUUGAUAUACAAGUCAAAGUGUGCUAAACAUUUAAGCAUCUAAGGGAAUAAAUAUGUGCUUGACUGGUUUAAAACAAGUAUGUUUUGGAUCGGGCCAUUAUCCGCAACCAGGCACCUAGCUGGUUUUAAACGUACUCGUUUAAUACCGGCCAAGCAUAAAUUUAUUCCCAUUCAUAAAUACCUUUCGAUCAUAUCUAGUCGAAACAA
This 2495-nucleotide unclassified non-coding RNA is filed under the name Patiria miniata (bat star). Its description in RNAcentral is "t-cell activation inhibitor, mitochondrial-like, transcript variant X2". The record is from RNAcentral. Lineage: Eukaryota; Metazoa; Echinodermata; Asteroidea; Valvatida; Asterinidae.